This 633-nucleotide unclassified non-coding RNA is filed under the name uncultured Cryptococcus. RNAcentral describes it as "sequence contains ITS1, 5.8S rRNA gene and ITS2". The stretch from base 155 to 308 matches the Rfam family "5.8S ribosomal RNA". The record is from RNAcentral. Lineage: Eukaryota; Fungi; Basidiomycota; Tremellomycetes.
AAGUCGUAACAAGGUUUCCGUAGGUGAACCUGCGGAAGGAUCAUUAGUGAACGCCCUCACGGGCUUAUAACUAUUCCAAACCUCUGUGAACCGUGCCCUUCGGGGCUAUUUUACAAACAUGGUGUAAUGAACGUCAUAUAUCAUAACAAAACAAAACUUUCAACAACGGAUCUCUUGGCUCUCGCAUCGAUGAAGAACGCAGCGAAAUGCGAUAAGUAAUGUGAAUUGCAGAAUUCAGUGAAUCAUCGAAUCUUUGAACGCACCUUGCGCCCUCUGGUAUUCCGGAGGGCAUGCCUGUUUGAGUGUCAUGUAGACUCAAUCCCUCGGGUUUCCGAGGAGAUUGGACUUGGGUGUUGCCGCUCUGCCGGCUCGCCUUAAAAGACUUAGCGGGAUAGCACCGUAGUCGGCGUAAUAAGUUUCGUCGGUGAAGGUUGUGAUGACUGCUUACAAUCGCCCUCGGGCAAUUUUUGACUCUGACCUCAAAUCAGGUAGGACUACCCGCUGAACUUAAGCAUAUCAAUAAGCAGAGGAAAAGAAACUAACAAGGAUUCCCCUAGUAGCGGCGAGCGAAGCGGGAAGAGCUCAAAUUUGAAAGCUGGCGUCCUUCGGGCGUCCGCAUUGUAAUCUAUAGAG